UAACGCGUAGGUAACCUGCCUGGUAGCGGGGGAUAACUAUUGGAAACGAUAGCUAAUACCGCAUAAGAACAUUUACUGCAUGGUAGAUGUUUAAAAGGUGCAAAAGCAUCACUACCAGAUGGACCUGCGUUGUAUUAGCUAGUUGGUGAGGUAACGGCUCACCAAGGCAACGAUACAUAGCCGACCUGAGAGGGUGAUCGGCCACACUGGGACUGAGACACGGCCCAG
RNAcentral lists this ribosomal RNA (228 nucleotides) under uncultured bacterium. RNAcentral describes it as "partial 16S ribosomal RNA". It matches the Rfam family "Bacterial small subunit ribosomal RNA", at positions 111 to 334 of the family's 1533-position model. The record is from RNAcentral.